Molecule: long non-coding RNA, 550 nt
Filed under: Ananas comosus (pineapple)
Lineage: Eukaryota; Viridiplantae; Streptophyta; Magnoliopsida; Poales; Bromeliaceae
Description: long non-coding RNA (ACOM_LNC020939)
Source: RNAcentral
GGAAAGCAGCUAGAUUUUUUUUCUAGUGAACCUGGUGCAUCGUUUUUUAUUUUAAAAUUUUAUUUCUUACUUUUUAGUUAUAAUUAAAUAUAACAUGUCACGCCCUGGAUUACUCGUUUCCCUGGGCACGCCGACAAAUCCGCCGUAUACAAAGAAAUUUUUCCUGUAUACGAAGCGAUAGCCGUACCUGUAACCAUACAACACUACAAAUAGUAGUGUAGAGCUGCUAAAAAGAUCAAUAUAUAUAAACAAAGCUGGUUCACUGUGCAUACGUCACAUCCUGGUACAAAAGCACUCGCCCCAGCGAGGAACAACAUCAGUAUAUACAAGAACCAAAAACUACAACUACCUGUAGCUGGUACCCCUCUAGCUCUGCGACUAGUCUGGAAAGGCUCCAACUCAUAACGUCCUUGCCACGAUCAGUCUCGGUAGAAGCAGCAGCUGGAACAGCCGGCUCUACAAAACAGUGGUAAUAACUGGGCGUGAGAACUACUGUAAAAACUAGUAGUCCACAAUGGGUACCGCCCUCAAACUCAUCGGCUCACCCACU